CAUCUUGACAGUGUUUCCUUGGCUCUCCUGGGAAGGUUGAGAUGCUAGAAUCCGGCAGAACUGGAACCAUCGCGAGCCACAGCAACCCCGAGCCUGGAUUCCGGGCUUCGGCUUUGUCUUUUGGUUAAUCAGGUCGUUGUGAGGCUCCGGACGACAAGUGAUUAGCCCAAGACGAUGGACAAACGGGAGUCCCCUUUAUGCCCGAGAUCCUUCUCCCGCCCCUCUGCAGAGAAAGACCCGUCUUGGGCCCACGUUCUCAGCUGGGGAGCCCAGAGCUCUGACUUCUGAGUCAUCUGCCCAAAGCUGGUUCCAACAGUGGCUUCAGUGUGCCUGCCAGCGAAAUGGGACGAGGAAACCGCGGUCCGUCAGGGUCCUCGAGGCAGCUUCAGAGUUCCUGCAAGUGGAAGGAAGUCUGGGGCCAGAACAGGAUUGGGCACCGACCCCCGCCAGCCUGGGCACGGCCCUGGUGUUUCUGCCUCUCUGGGCAGAAGCAUCUUGUCACACAAUGAAGAUCUUACCUGCCACCCUCCCACUUGGUGUGGUGGGAAUUGGAACACAGAAUGAAGAGCCAUACCAAAGAGAAAGGAGAGAGAGAGGCUGUGCCUGCCAAGCAGGUCCCCAGCUCCAGUGGGGCUCCAGCGGCAAGAAUCAUGCCAGCCACUCCAGAGACGCUCCCUCCUGGAACCCCCACAACUUCAGAGGAAUAAUCAACAUUAUCCUCAUUUUACAG
Heterocephalus glaber (naked mole-rat) is the source of this 730-nucleotide long non-coding RNA. NCBI's taxonomy places the organism in Eukaryota, Metazoa, Chordata, Mammalia, Rodentia, Bathyergidae. The record is from Ensembl.